RNAcentral lists this ribosomal RNA (320 nucleotides) under uncultured eukaryote. RNAcentral's name for it is "partial 18S ribosomal RNA". It matches the Rfam family "Eukaryotic small subunit ribosomal RNA", at positions 1470 to 1796 of the family's 1831-position model. The record is from RNAcentral.
CCCUUAGAUGUUCUGGGCCGCACGCGCGCUACACUGAACAGUUCAACAAGUCUUAACCUUGGCCGAUAGGUCUGGGUAAUCUUUGAACGCUGUUCGUGAUUGGGAUAGACCUUUGCAAUUAUGGGUCUUCAACGAGGAAUUCCUAGUAAACGCAAGUCAUCAGCUUGCAUUGAUUACGUCCCUGCCCUUUGUACACACCGCCCGUCGCACCUACCGAUUGAAUGGUCCGGUGAAAUCUCGGGACGGCGGCUUGGUCGCUUGCGUCCGACUGCUGAAACUUGAUUAAACCAUAUCAUUUAGAGGAAGGAGAAGUCGUAACA